GCCAGGCGUGGUGGUGCACGCCUGUAAUCCCAGCUACUCGGGAGGCUGAGGCAGGAGAAUCACUUGAACCUGGGAGGCAGGGGUUGCAGUGAGCUGAGAUCACACCACUGUACUCCAGCCUGGUGAUACAGUGAGACUCUGUCUCAA
RNAcentral lists this non-coding RNA (147 nucleotides) under Pan troglodytes (chimpanzee). Lineage: Eukaryota; Metazoa; Chordata; Mammalia; Primates; Hominidae. The record is from Rfam by way of RNAcentral.